This 65-nucleotide transfer RNA is filed under the name Dipodomys ordii (Ord's kangaroo rat). It matches the Rfam family "tRNA". From Rfam's summary of the family: Transfer RNA (tRNA) molecules are approximately 80 nucleotides in length. The record is from Rfam by way of RNAcentral. Lineage: Eukaryota; Metazoa; Chordata; Mammalia; Rodentia; Heteromyidae.
GGUGGCUCAGUGGUAGAGCUCUUGCCUUGCAUUCAUGAGGCCCUGGGUUCAAUUCCUCAGCACCA